GAUGAACGCUGGCGGCGUGCCUAAUACAUGCAAGUCGAGCGAACGGACGAGAAGCUUGCUUUUCUGAUGUUAGCGGCGGACGGGUGAGUAACACGUGGAUAACCUACCUAUAAGACUGGGAUAACUUCGGGAAACCGGAGCUAAUACCGGAUAAUAUUUUGAACCGCAUGGUUCAAAAGUGAAAGACGGUCUUGCUGUCACUUAUAGAUGGAUCCGCGCUGCAUUAGCUAGUUGGUAAGGUAACGGCUUGCCAAGGCAACGAUGCAUAGCCGACCUGAGAGGGUGAUCGGCCACACUGGAACUGAGACACGGUCCAGACUCCUACGGGAGGCAGCAGUAGGGAAUCCUCCGCAAUGGGCGAAAGCCUGACGGAGCAACGCCGCGUGAGUGAUGAAGGUCUUCGGAUCGUAAAACUCUGUUAUUAGGGAAGAACAUAUGUGUAAGUAACUGUGCACAUCUUGACGGUACCUAAUCAGAAAGCCACGGCUAACUACGUG
This 497-nucleotide ribosomal RNA is filed under the name uncultured bacterium. Its description in RNAcentral is "partial 16S ribosomal RNA". It matches the Rfam family "Bacterial small subunit ribosomal RNA", at positions 28 to 507 of the family's 1533-position model. The record is from RNAcentral.